GUUCAGUUCUAGGGCCUCCAAAUUUGGUUAAAUUUGAGUAAUGGCGCAGAACGGAAGUAAGAUAGAGAAAUCACCAACAUGAUUUACCCUGAUUUCACUAGAAUCCACCAGAAGUUUACAAACAAGUUGUAAAGAGUAAAGUUUUAUCAAAUUUGUAUAUGUCCCCUUGGGUAUACCCACAUGCUGGGUAUAUAUAACACUCAAUAAAAUAACAAAAUAUAACUUGAUUAAUAAAUGAAACGCGCCCGCCGAAGCCAAGUCUUAUAAAGUUCCGAUAGCCGAAGACAUGAUGCCUUUUCUGAAGCCGAGGCCAUAUGUCGAAGCCUUCUAUUCGGGAAAACUCUUUUUACGUUCGUCUUUUCGGUUCAGCUUUCUUUCCACGUCUUCGGUCCAGUUCUUCCUCAAACUCUAGGGUCAGUUGUCCUACAUCAAGUAACGUUAAAAAUACAUACAUAUAUGUAAUAUAUACAUAAUGAACACAUCCAUUACUAUAUUAAUUCGUCGGAUUUAGGACUGAUCAUUCGGUUAUAACCGAACCGAAUAGGCUAUUCAGUUAUAACCGAAUGCCGAAAUAUUCCUAUUUUCAAUAUCCGAACUAAUAAUCGAAUUUUGGUAAUAACCGAAUAACCGAAUUACCGAAUUGUAAAUUCGGUAUUUCGGGUAAUAAUCGAACACUGCUAUCAAAAUUCAAAAAUAACACUCAAAAAUGAGAGAGAAGACCCAAGCAGGCAGACAGCUCUAUGUUUCUCCCCACUCAUCCUUCUUUUCCUCUAUAAUUCCCAAAAUCUAUCCUCUCCCCUAAAAAUUCUCUCUAUUUCACCAAACCAGUAUAACCAAUUGUAAGAGUAAAAGAACAAGAACCAAAAGAAGAAGAAGAAGUAGGCAUAGUGGGUGAGUUUAGCACCGUGGGUCCGUGGCUGGUGCUGCAGUGGUAGCUGCCCUAACGAUUAUAAUAACAGUGGUGAAUGGGAAUUCAGAAGGAGAUGCACUCUACGCGCUGCGACGGAGCUUAACUGAUCCAGAUAACGUACUAGUCAAGAGUUUAACCCUUGCACAUGGUUCCAUGUCACGUGACUCACGUCUAUGGCUCUGUCCCUCUUAUUGGCUAUUGGGAAUCCUCCAAAACUGUAUGAACUCUUCAAACACUUCUCCCCAUUUUUAAUUCACUACUCAGUCUAAUCACUUCAUUUCGGUUAUUCGGUUUAAUCGAAUAACAAAAAACCAAAACCAAUCCUGAACCCGAAAAGCGGAUAAUAAAACGGUUAUAACCGAAUUACAGAAAAUAACCGAAAUAAUUCGGUUAAAAAAUUUCGAUUAUAUUCGGUUAUUCGAUUUUACCCGUUUUUUGCUCAGUCCUAGCUGGAUUUGAUCCUACAUGAUUCGACGCUUAUUUAGGAUUUACAUAUAUGUUGUUUGGAUAAUGAUUAGAUCAAAUCAAUUAUGAUUAUGAAUCAGCACAUGCACAGGAGCAUGCGCGCACACAUAUAUAUACAUAUUCUCUAUGAAUUACAACUUAAUUUAAUUAAUAUAAAUUACAUU
This 1539-nucleotide long non-coding RNA is filed under the name Panax ginseng (ginseng). RNAcentral's name for it is "long non-coding RNA (PGIN_LNC014727)". Lineage: Eukaryota; Viridiplantae; Streptophyta; Magnoliopsida; Apiales; Araliaceae. The record is from RNAcentral.